GACACUUUUUUGUGGGUCCCAGAAAACAAGAGUGAGGACAUUUAUUCACACUUUAAGUUCCUGUCUAUGAACCUUAGUUAUUUUGGACUCUGACAUUAACUUUGAAAGUUAGUAACAUAAGAAGGGCAACCAUUUUUGGAGCAGUGAUAGAGGAGCCACAGUAACACAUAAAACAUAGUCCUGGAUAUCGGGACAGAUGAAAAUCUUUGGUCAGAUGAUAGUUCUCUUACAGUGUGAUAUGGGUCAGGAGUUCUGUGAUGUAGGUGGGCGUGAGACAGUUUAAUAAUACUUUUAUUCUGUAGCUAACAGGAAGCUAAUGUAGAGAGGGUUGGAGUGAUGUCCUUUCUUAACUGGAGACGGGUACACAAGACAAAAUAAUAUCAAAGUAUAAAGAGUUGCAAUAAUCGAGAUGGAAGCAUAUAAAGGCAUGGAUGACUUUCUCCAGCCCUCAGUUAGUCAUUAAGAUGCCCAGUCCCUGCUCAAGAUGCAAGGUCACUGACAAUUAAAACCAAGCCCACGGAGGGCUCAGACGAGAGACAGAACGGCUGAUGUUGAACUCUGUGCAAGACUGGAUAAUCCAGACAAAUCACAGCCUGAGUCCCUCCUCUGCUUCUCCCCACCGGCCCUGUCACCUCUACAGCCAGGGAGAUGUCUCAUGUCUAGUGUGACCCGAUUGUGACGUCACCCAUUGGUUUGUGGAGUUCCAUUUUAAAGCCUUGAGUCUGGCGUUUUGACCGUUGCCAUGACAGUUUUGACGGAGCCAGUGGAGGUUACGUACUGUGAGUUAAACUGCGCUCAUUGGCUGCUCAGUUUCAACUUGUCCGUAGCAGGAAACAAUGGCGGCUCGCCUGGUCACACAAGUUUAAAUUUGGUGAACUUGCUGAGUUGACCUUUUGCUGACUACUUCUUGAAUUAUGAAUGAAAAACAAAUGACUUGUGUUUCUUUAUUUCCAGAACUGCACAACAAUUGGUACAUCUGCAUGUACCUUUGUUUAAAAAACCCAAUUUGAGACAGUAAAACGAUCAAACUACUGCUACUAACAUUAUCAUUGUAGCUGAGGUGGUACCAAAGUGCUCCAAAUGUGCUGUAUAUUAUUGACAUCAAUGGAGAUCUACGGCACAGAACAAUAAGAUAAAUCAGGCUUUGGUUACAUUGGCAGUACUGGUUCGGAAGUAUUUUGGUGUUGACAAAAAUAAAAACAGAUAUAAAAUAAUGUUCUUUAUCAAUGUAGCUCUUAUGACAGAAGCAAUGAAGAAAAUAGAACCGUAGAAUUCUAGAACACUACACAUCAUAGACUCUAGAAUCACAAUAGAAUGAAGAAUGGAGCCACGGAAUUCUGUCUACAGAUCAAGAUGCAAAACACAUUUGCAUGCAGUUUUCCCUAGGAGACUAAGGAUAUUUCAGGAAUACGUGUUUCUGUGACAGGCAGCCAUCAGUUUGUAACUGGUUUGUAAUUUCUUGUUUUACAAGCUAGUUCCCUGGAAAUAAGGUAAGUCUAUAACCCUGUACACAGUAUCAUUCCUCAAUAAUCUAGUCUAUAAUUUAAAUUUUACCAUGACUCUGCUGGUGUCUACAUAAAUAGUCACUGCCGUAGAGUUAAUGUAACACUUCACUUCUCUAAGAGCCACAGAACAAAUUUUCUGCUGUUAAUGAGUGUUGAUUUUUUCAUUAACAUUCUAUUAGAUGUUUAAAAAUUGAUCACUAUUUAAUAGUUGCAUUAAUUUGCUGGGAUUUAUAGUCAACACUGUCAUAACGUUAACCUUUUAAAGCCCUAUGGCUAUAAAGGACAAAAACAAGUUUUUGAAAGUCAUAUUUUGUCUUGUUCACAAUGAAUGACUUGUUCAUUUAUUAAAAGAAAAGUUUUUUUAGGAACAAAUGUGUAUGUUUUUUGUGGGAACUGUGAAGACAAACAUCUGUUUACACAACCACAUUAAAAGGGGUUAAAACUUAGAACAUCUACCACAGGGUUACUCAACUUGCUUUGCUCAGGAGCCACACAAAGGGGCCAGUUAUUAAACAAACAUGAAUAAUAUUUAUGAGAUUAAAGUAAUAAACAUUAAGUUAUUGUUAAUGUCACAGAAUAAGACAACUUCAAAGUCGUAAUCUUCUCUUUUGUUGCGGUGCUACCGGGCAAGGUAUUAACAACCUUGCACACAAUAGGAAAGUUUAACGCAGUGGUUUAGGACUGGUAUGAAGUGGCAAAAUAAAGGCAAAUUUAUCAGUACAUUUUGUUACUGAAUUAGCUUGUUGUCAUUGUCAACCUUUACACAUGCUGUCCUCACUCAUCUUUGUCAAAAAGCAAAUCCAGUCACAGCAGCCCUGCGCAGGUCUGGUGUACAGUCACAAAAAUCAAGUGUCACUGUUUCUGCACACUGUACUAUAGGCUAAUAUGCAAGUAUCAGCCAAGGGACAUAAUUCAGCAUCUACAAUUUGGUAAAAACAAACAAAAAAGAUCCCAGUGUGAAUCAGUUUAUUUUCGUUGUGAAUCAGAAAAUGGUUGGAGGACUUCCAGUUGAGGUCCACUUCUCCGAUAUACUUUAACACUUUCUGCCUUGAAUCAACUAGCGGUAAAGUUUCUUAUAAAGGUUUGUUUAAUAAAUAACUCAGACCAGAAGAGUAGAGUCACAGUUGACUGACAACAGUUUAGACUAAAAAGGCAUUGGUCCUGUUAAAGUUAGGCAUCUCACCAGGGAGAUGUUUUUUUCUUUUGCUCCUCUCUUUUCUCCUUUAUUUUCACUCAGGCUUAUACCUACCAGCUCAAACUCAAUAUAUACUGAUAUUUCAUUUCAUUUUCCUUUAAAUGAAAGUUCUGUAAAAUGUAUUUCUUGGAAUAUCUGAGUCUCGAACCGUCCUGUUGAACAAAAUAAGGUUCUCUCACACCUUGCAGUCUUAAAGGUUGGAAUAGCUUUUCUACAGGAGACCCAUCUUUGUAAUUCAGAUGUACCUACGCUCGGACAUAGUUGGGUUGGCGAAGUAUGGAAGCAUAUUGCAAUCACUUAAAAAAAAUCUGCUCUGAAUUAAUGAGAUACCUCCAGCUCACUCUCCUUGCCAAGAGCCGGCUCUCAGCUCCCCUGAGCCUAACCGAAUCCUGUAUCCAGCCUCCAGCUCCGUCUUCCCUGUUCACUCCCUGGAACUCUGCUAAAGAACCAUUGGGAGAAAGGGAAGAUCCGUGCCCACGCCCAGUGCCUGUUCUCGGCUAUCCUCCCGUGUCUGGGGACAUUGGCUGUUCCCUGUGUGGUCACAGGAGAAUAGCGAGAGAACACGCACCAUGGCCUCACUGUAAAGUUGUCUGCACUCUACUGCAGAACCGUAGGGAGAUCAGUGAGGUACGUGCCCACGCCCAGUGAGUCAUCUUGGCUGUCCUCUUGUGGCCAAACACCCCCUGGGUGCAGGUACACUGGAGGCCACCGUUUAGGGUGCGCCUGAUUUGAGACGUGAUUCACUUCACCCCCUUCAAGAGUAUAACAUGCACACAGUUCCUACCCCACACACACCAGUUCAUCAUAGUUUAUAAUAAUGCAUUGCAGUCAGGGUACAGUUGUUUCAUAACCAUAAUCUGUGUGUCACUGUUGACAGAGACUCCAGUUUGCAAAUCCACACACUUGUAAACUGCUGAGCCCACAGCCGGUGCCUGUUCUCGACAAUCCUCCUGUGAACAUCCAAUGUGAUUAUGUUGGAUAGGACAAGAAAGAAUCUAUCUACACAUGAGAGAACAGCCGAGAACAGGCACUGGUUGUGGGCAUGGAUCCCAGUACACAAAAACAUCCGCUUUGUUGUCAGCAGGGAUGACACUGACAUUAAAGGUGGGUUUGUUAUUGUCAGAUGGGCUCUUCAACAAGCCAAUCACUUUAGUGAACCUUUACGUCCCCUAACCGGGAUGAUUCUGGCCAUAGACACUCACUCGUUGAUCCUAGGCGGGGACUUUAAUUGCACUCCUGAUUAAAGUCUUGACAGGUCAUCAUCCAAAAUAAUACCUGCGUCCUAACACCUCCACCACACAAACGUUAUGUGGUCUAUAUGGUCUUUCUGAUCCCUGAAGAUUUUUAUUUCCUUCUUCUAAUGCAUUUUCCUUUUUUUCCCCCAGUCCAUCAUUCCUUUAGCAACAUCGAUUACUUUCUAAUAGAUAAUAAUUUCAUUCAGAAUUGCUGUUAUGAUAUUGUUAAGGUGUUGUUUUAUCGGACCACGCUGGUUUCCUUUGAAAUAAUUAUACCACACCAACCUCCAUUUUUACUAUUUGCUAUGCUAUAAGCUAGCUUUGCUAUAGACCUGCUUUGUGGACAUUAGAUAGAUGUAGAUGUAAUGCUAACAUUAUAGCAUAGCUACCUUAAUGUUAGAUGGCAGAUUACAUUAAUAUAAAAUGAUAAGGACAUUGAAUAAUAUAAUUUGUAUGUGGCUUUUGCCAUUGUGUUGUGGCUAUUGCUAUUUUUUUUUAAAUUACAUUUUUACUUAGGUUGUAAUUGUCACUAUUUUACUCUAUGGCAUAUCACCAUACUACUUACUUACUUACUUACCUACUACUACAUACAAACAUAUUGUAACAUUUUUAGUAUUG
Morone saxatilis (striped sea-bass) is the source of this 4553-nucleotide long non-coding RNA. RefSeq lists it as uncharacterized. The record is from RefSeq and is a predicted model, not a curated record. NCBI's taxonomy places the organism in Eukaryota, Metazoa, Chordata, Actinopteri, Moronidae. The transcript is spliced from 4 exons.